This 254-nucleotide ribosomal RNA is filed under the name uncultured bacterium. RNAcentral describes it as "partial 16S ribosomal RNA". It matches the Rfam family "Bacterial small subunit ribosomal RNA", at positions 524 to 776 of the family's 1533-position model. The record is from RNAcentral.
UACAGAGGGUGCGAGCGUUGUCCGGAAUCACUGGGCGUAAAGGGCGCGUAGGUGGUGGCUUAAGCGUGCGGUGAAAGCUCGGAGCUCAACUCCGAGUCGGCCGUGCGAACUGGGCUCACUGGAGCAUAGUAGAGGCAGGUGGAAUUCCGGGUGUAGCGGUGGAAUGCGUAGAGAUCGGGAGGAACACCUGUGGCGAAGGCGGCCGGCUGGGGGUGCCCUGACGCUGAGGCGCGAAAGCGUGGGGAGCGAACCGG